GAACAGGGAAGACUAAAACAGAGACAUAAAAGCAGAAAACUCAAAACACAACAUGCACAUUUAGAAACCGCCCUUGUAUCAGUCUUUCUCCAAAUAGCGAACCCCUCAACCUUAGAGAAAAAAAAAAUGAAGAAGUGCGAGCUCUGUGACUCUUUAGCUAAAAUAUACUGUGAAUCAGAUCAAGCAAGCCUUUGCUGGGACUGUGAUGCCAAUGUUCACUGUGCAAAUUUCCUUGUUUCUAAACAUUCAAGAACGCUUCUUUGCCACCUCUGCCAAUCUUUCACCCCCUGGACAGCCUCCGGACCCAAGUUCAGCCCGACUGUUUCUGUUUGCGAGAACUGUGUAAACAAUUCCUCUUGUAGAGAUGAAAGAGGCAGUGAACAUGAUCAAAGUAGCGAUGGCGAUGAUGAUGAUGAUGAUGAUCUUGAUAGAGAAGACACUGGCGAUGAUGAAGACGAUGAAAAUGGUGAUGGAAGCGAUGAAGAUGAAGAAGAAAAUCAAGUGGUUCCUUGGUCUUCUGCAGCGCCUCCACCAGCUUCAAGUUCUUCUAACAGUGAUCAAGAAUGCUCCAGUAGGAUGUGUAAUAGCGACGAAGGUGCUUCUCAAUCAAGAAUUGCAUUUUCUUUGAAGCGAAUGAGAGAAACUUCUCAGGAUCAUCUAGGCUGCCUGAUAUCUCAAGAUAAUCCAAAUGCAUGCAUGUCAAAUGAAAUACCCUUUCAGGCAAAGCCAUUGAAGAACCAGGAAAGAACCAUGAGAGAGUCUCACGAGGGAUUGCAGAAACCCAAACUCCCUGAAGACAUUAUGAAGUUUGACAUCUGCAAACUGAACAAAGCAUCUGGAAAAUGCCAUUGAUAUAUUGACUAAAUAAUUAUAGCCACGUAAUUUUCUCUGAUUGAAAGCUAUUGUAACUCUAAUCUGAGAUUGAUCUGUGGUAGUGUACUAGUCUCUCUUUAACAAUUAACCACUUAGAGAAAUACUGUAUUGUAUUAAUCAUAGGUAUUAGUUUGCUUUAUUGCAAUGCAUAGUUCUUGCAAUGCAUAGUUCUUCUGGGUAUCAUUCAAAGAAAAAAGAAUAAAA
This 1077-nucleotide unclassified non-coding RNA is filed under the name Hevea brasiliensis (rubber tree). The record is from RNAcentral. Lineage: Eukaryota; Viridiplantae; Streptophyta; Magnoliopsida; Malpighiales; Euphorbiaceae.